RNAcentral lists this ribosomal RNA (520 nucleotides) under uncultured bacterium. Its description in RNAcentral is "bacterial SSU rRNA". It matches the Rfam family "Bacterial small subunit ribosomal RNA", at positions 8 to 529 of the family's 1533-position model. The record is from RNAcentral.
AGAGUUUGAUCAUGGCUCAGGAUGAACGCUGGCGGCGUGCCUAACACAUGCAAGUCGAGCGAAGCACUUGGGUUAGAUUCUUCGGAUGACGACCCUUGUGACUGAGCGGCGGACGGGUGAGUAACGCGUGGGCAACCUGCCCUGUACAGGGGGAUAACAGUUAGAAAUGACUGCUAAUACCGCAUAAGCCCACAGCUUCGCAUGAAGCAGUGGGAAAAACUCCGGUGGUACAGGAUGGGCCCGCGUCUGAUUAGCUAGUUGGUAAGGUAACGGCUUACCAAGGCGACGAUCAGUAGCCGACCUGAGAGGGUGACCGGCCACAUUGGGACUGAGACACGGCCCAAACUCCUACGGGAGGCAGCAGUGGGGAAUAUUGCACAAUGGGGGAAACCCUGAUGCAGCGACGCCGCGUGAGCGAUGAAGUAUUUCGGUAUGUAAAGCUCUAUCAGCAGGGAAGAAAGUGACGGUACCUGACUAAAAAGCCCGGCUAACUACGUGCCAGCAGCCGCGGUAAUACGUA